UACGUAGGGUGCGAGCGUUAAUCGGAAUUACUGGGCGUAAAGCGUGCGCAGGCGGUCUGUUAAGACAGAUGUGAAAUCCCCGGGCUUAACCUGGGAACUGCAUUGUGACUGGCAGGCUAGAGUAUGGCAGAGGGGGGUAGAAUUCCACGUGUAGCAGUGAAAUGCGUAGAGAUGUGGAGGAAUACCGAUGGCGAAGGCAGCCCCCUGGGCCAAUACUGACGCUCAUGCACGAAAGCGUGGGGAGCAAACAGG
RNAcentral lists this ribosomal RNA (252 nucleotides) under uncultured bacterium. RNAcentral describes it as "partial 16S ribosomal RNA". It matches the Rfam family "Bacterial small subunit ribosomal RNA", at positions 524 to 776 of the family's 1533-position model. The record is from RNAcentral.